UCCGCUCGGCGCCUCGAUCGGCGACUUUCUCGCCAAGCCCGUGAUCGCAGGCGGAUUGGGCUGGGGCACGGUCACCACGAGUCUCAUCUUCCUCGCCGCCAUUCUCGCGCUGGUCAUCUUCCUGACGAUCAGUCGAUUCGACCGCAUCGAGCAGGCGUCAGCAGAAGCCUGAUGACGAAACCGGCCGAAGUCCGGCGCCACUUCGGCCUCAAGCACCGGCAACGCUUGUUGCAAUCUGGCCCACCUUCACUUUAAAAAGGAUACCCCGAUGAAGCCCAAUCCUCUAAAAAUCGCAUUGCUCUCAGCCACGAUCGGCGUUGCAUUGACCGGCGCCGCACGGGCGGACUGCGCGAGCGAUCUGCUCCAAC
Molecule: unclassified non-coding RNA, 368 nt
Filed under: Hevea brasiliensis (rubber tree)
Lineage: Eukaryota; Viridiplantae; Streptophyta; Magnoliopsida; Malpighiales; Euphorbiaceae
Source: RNAcentral